GUUGUAUGACUAGUCUUUUGAUCUGAGAUGGCACUAUUGCUCGUAGUGAAGCUGCUGGAGUUUGAUUGAUACAUCAAUAUGGAUCUCAAGAAGUCUUUAUAGUGGAUGUUAGCGAUAGUUGGUCCACUAUAGGAGUGGGGUGUGUAUCAAGAUGGGAUCUAUCGAUCCUAGUAAAAGAGAGUAGUCUUAUGAGAUUUAAGAGAGAAUUUUUAAGUCUAUGGCCAUAGCAGUGUGAUUGAUGAAAAAGUAUUUUUAUAGAAUCACAUAUAGACUC
Molecule: long non-coding RNA, 274 nt
Filed under: Elaeis guineensis (African oil palm)
Lineage: Eukaryota; Viridiplantae; Streptophyta; Magnoliopsida; Arecales; Arecaceae
Description: long non-coding RNA (EGUI_LNC066915)
Source: RNAcentral